AGUGGGGGUUGCUUAUACAUGCAAGUCGUACGCACUGGCCCAACUGAUUGAUGGUGCUUGCACCUGAUUGACGAUGGAUUACCAGUGAGUGGCGGACGGGUGAGUAACACGUAGGUAACCUGCCCCGGAGCGGGGGAUAACAUUUGGAAACAGAUGCUAAUACCGCAUAACAACAAAAGCCACAUGGCUUUUGUUUGAAAGAUGGCUUUGGCUAUCACUCUGGGAUGGACCUGCGGUGCAUUAGCUAGUUGGUAAGGUAACGGCUUACCAAGGCGAUGAUGCAUAGCCGAGUUGAGAGACUGAUCGGCCACAAUGGAACUGAGACACGGUCCAUACUCCUACGGGAGGCAGCAGUAGGGAAUCUUCCACAAUGGGCGCAAGCCUGAUGGAGCAACACCGCGUGAGUGAAGAAGGGUUUCGGCUCGUAAAGCUCUGUUGUUGGAGAAGAACGUGCGUGAGAGUAACUGUUCACGCAGUGACGGUAUCCAACCAGAAAGUCACGGCUAACUACGUGCCAGCAGCCGCGGUAAUACGUAGGUGGCAAGCGUUAUCCGGAUUUAUUGGGCGUAAAGCGAGCGCAGGCGGUUGCUUAGGUCUGAUGUGAAAGCCUUCGGCUUAACCGAAGAAGUGCAUCGGAAACCGGGCGACUUGAGUGCAGAAGAGGACAGUGGAACUCCAUGUGUAGCGGUGGAAUGCGUAGAUAUAUGGAAGAACACCAGUGGCGAAGGCGGCUGUCUGGUCUGCAACUGACGCUGAGGCUCGAAAGCAUGGGUAGCGAACAGGAUUAGAUACCCUGGUAGUCCAUGCCGUAAACGAUGAGUGCUAGGUGUUGGAGGGUUUCCGCCCUUCAGUGCCGGAGCUAACGCAUUAAGCACUCCGCCUGGGGAGUACGACCGCAAGGUUGAAACUCAAAGGAAUUGACGGGGGCCCGCACAAGCGGUGGAGCAUGUGGUUUAAUUCGAAGCUACGCGAAGAACCUUACCAGGUCUUGACAUCUUGCGCUAACCUUAGAGAUAAGGCGUUCCCUUCGGGGACGCAAUGACAGGUGGUGCAUGGUCGUCGUCAGCUCGUGUCGUGAGAUGUUGGGUUAAGUCCCGCAACGAGCGCAACCCUUGUUACUAGUUGCCAGCAUUAAGUUGGGCACUCUAGUGAGACUGCCGGUGACAAACCGGAGGAAGGUGGGGACGACGUCAGAUCAUCAUGCCCCUUAUGACCUGGGCUACACACGUGCUACAAUGGACGGUACAACGAGUCGCAAGCUCGCGAGAGUAAGCUAAUCUCUUAAAGCCGUUCUCAGUUCGGACUGUAGGCUGCAACUCGCCUACACGAAGUCGGAAUCGCUAGUAAUCGCGGAUCAGCAUGCCGCGGUGAAUACGUUCCCGGGCCUUGUACACACCGCCCGUCACACCAUGGGAGUUUGUAACGCCCAAAGUCGGUGGCCUAACCUUUAUGGAGGGG
Molecule: ribosomal RNA, 1458 nt
Filed under: Limosilactobacillus reuteri
Lineage: Bacteria; Bacillati; Bacillota; Bacilli; Lactobacillales; Lactobacillaceae
Description: bacterial SSU rRNA
Rfam family: Bacterial small subunit ribosomal RNA
Source: RNAcentral